CUGGCUCUAACAAAGAGGAGGCUUACCUGCUUUCUGUGCCUACAGAAGACCAGACCAGCAAUUGACUCAUUUUAUUCUUCCUGCUGGGAAAGCCUCAUCUUUUUACUUCAAACCACCUAAAUCUCAUGCAUCUUUCAAGACUCAGGUAAGCCAUCCUUUCAGUUUAAAAUUGAUUGACUCCCUAUUUUGCAUAAAAUACUGUUCUCAGUGUCAGUAAUAUAAAAUAGUGAUACGCGCGUAAUGUCUGCCCUCAAUGAGCUUAGAGUUUAAUGAGGAGAGAGCCAAGUUAACCAACAAAUAUGUGAGCAUUGAGACUUUGAAUCACAAAACUCAUAAAGGGAACACAUUGGAAGAGCACCUCAGCAAGUCAUUAACUACUCCAGCCAUCACUGCUCUUUUCAAUCUUGUGACAUCUACAUAACCUUUUCUUGCACCACACAAUUUAGCACUUAAUUAAUAUUCUCUUGUGUUUUUCAAUGUUGUUUCAGAAGUUGAAGGUGGAGAAACUGUUAUUCAAUAGAUUCCUCCUAGGGAAAAAAACUGAAUUUCUUUCAUAGAAAGGUUUUGGUAAGCAAUUUGGGUUAGGGGCUGAAAUUUGAUGGCAUGCAUGUCUAGCUGAAUUGCUACGAAUGAGAAAAUAAGAAUUCAUAUUGUUCCUGAAAAAUAAAGAGGUGGGGGGAAGGAGAAAGAAAAGACAGAGACAACAGAGGAAGCAAUUAGAGACAGUGGGAAUUCAUCCUGUUUGUGAUAUGAACCCUCACUAUCACUCCUGAAUCUUCAGCAAUGUAGUCAAACUACCGAAAUUCAUGAUGCAGUUGUAAGUAGGUGCUGUGUGCAAUUGUGUGUGUGUGUUGAGAGAGAGAGAGAGGGAAAGAGAUAUUCUUUGUCUCUGACAUGGGUCAAAACAGAGAUAACACUGGUAAAUGGAGUCCUCUGUCAACCAUGCGUUAACUAGGCGAUAAGCUUCCUUAAGUCAGGGACUGCGAUUCAUUUUUCUCUGCAUAAUGUGGAGCAAAGAAGCCAUCUAAUUUUUUUGAACAAGUCCUGUAAUUUCUGAAAAAUCAAAAUUAAUGGUUGGGGCUGUAGUGGAUGUGGCAGAAGGUACCAGGGACAGAAGGGGACGACCUCCCUGGAAGUGAAUGCACAUCUAUUAAGUAACCAGCCAGCUAUGAAUGUUGCUUCUCGCUGAGGAUUUCCGUAGAAUCAGCAGCACAGCUUUUCUGCCUUUCUGAUGGUCUGAAUGACGUUCGCCUCCAGACCUGCUGCAUGUGAUUAAACAACGUGAAUAACAGCAUGCCCCAGGAGAACAGUGUGCGGUCGUCUGUGCCACAGGGUUGGAGGGAUUGGCUCUGUGCUGCCUGUCAAAAUGCAUAACCUUAUGGGCCAGAAAGGCCACAGCCAUUUCCUGUGUGGAUACAGCAAAGUUACUGAAUGAAUUCUUGACCUGAAAUUGUCCUUGGUCAAUAUACACCAGGGGGAAAACAAAUCCUGUGCUAUAAUGGGACUGACUUCCAACGGUUUUGGGCUUGGAGGAGAAAUGGUUGAUCAACUGACAAAAUUGUAAUGCAAAAGAAGCCACUGUGCUACUCAUCAUAUUAACACUCACUGAUAAUAGCUUUAUAAUUGUAUUCCAAACGCUCUCCAAACUGCAAUAUUUUUUUUGCAGUUGGGGCUUUCCACGACACUUCUUGUUGAACCCCACGGGAAGCCAACUCCCUUAUGUUGCCCAAUGUCUUUGUCAAACACAUUUAAUUCAAGCCUCAAUUGUGGUGGAAUUUCACCGGUCUGGUUUCAGACCCUCUCAGAACUAUAGAUUUCAUGGUCAUUUACAGAUUUUGGAAUUAGAGCCUCUGAAGCCUCCCACCUGAUAUCUGCAUUUGUAAUUCAUCAGAAGUGAUUUUUAUGAGCAGUUAGUCUCUGGAGCCUUAUUGGAAGCAGAUAGGAUGGUCCCUACCACCCCAAGUUAUUGAAUUCAAAAGUCGAGGACAGGGCCUGAAAAUCUCCACUUGUAACAGAGAUUUCUGGCGACUCUAUAAACCAUCCUUGACAUUAACCAAGUGAAAGACAUAAAACAUACCAAAUCAUCCCUAUCUGUUUUACGCAGCAACUACUAAAUGGCUUAACAUUUUCAUUGAUGUUAUUAGUUGUUUUGACACUCAUUGGACAGAACCUCAGAGUCUCAGUUUCACACAGAGACAGUGAAAACCAAACAGAAAAUAAGAGGGAAAUUAAACUUAUUGUAAAACUGACUGUUCUAUAAUGUCAUCAGGGGAACUAGAAGAAUAUUUGCAAGCAAUAAGAAACAUAAAAUGAGAGGAAUUAAGAAAUUAACCAGGAUAUUAUUUUCUAUACUUUAAUAAGAAAAAUUCAGUUAUAGCACUCUAAAUAAAAUGGUCAUUAAGGACUUCCUUCUUCCAGAAAAUAACAAAUCUUUCUCAGAAGACAAAUCUUUCUAGCUCCCAGCUCACUGAAGAUUUGGAGAAUAGCCAAGAAACUAUCUCUGAAGCUAUGAAAUGUACACAGCACCCUCUAUAGGAUCUCAUGUUUUGGGGCAUGACUAUUGAAGAGCUCUUAUUCUAAGGAAGGUUCAAGAAUACCACUGACAGACUAGAAAAGUCUGUCAAAUAUCAUUAGAAAAGAUGAUGAAUAUGAAUUAGGCAUUUAAGAGAAAGAGAUAAAAAGUUUUUCAAAAUUCUUAGGGCCGGCCUGGUGGCACAGUGGUUAAGUUCACGUGUUCCACUUGGGCGGUCUGGGGUUUGCCAGUUCGGAUCCCAGGUGCAGACAUGGCACUGCUUGGCACGCCAUGCUGUGGUAGGCGUCCCACGUAUAAAGUAGAGGAAGAUGGGCAUGGAUGUUAGCUCAGGGCCAGUCUUCCUCAGCAAAAAGAGGAGGACUGGCGGCAGAUGUUAGCUCGGGGCUAAUCUUCCUCAAAAAAAAUGUGAGAAAAUUCUUUACAGAGUCUGGAAUUCUAUAAUUGAAAAAGAUUCAGUAGUUUCCAUGAGAGAAAGACGUCUACUGUGAGAAAGUAGAAAUAGACAUAUAUAUUUAUUUAAAUCUACUUCCUGGUAGUGAGACUUGAGCAUGGGUUUGGGGGGAGCUGACUUUUAUGUCUGUGCUGUUACUGUAUGGUGAACAACCGUCUCGGUUUGCCUGGGACUGAGGGGUUUUCUGGGACAGCGAGCAAUCGGCACUACAACAGGUCAAGCCCCAGGCAAACUGGGCAGUUGCUCACCUAGUUAGUUGCCUCCAUGACCUCCACCCACUCCCGGAUGGAGAGUGACUCACCUAGCCCCGGCUCCCUCACCACAGCGAUUGGUUCAGGCAGGAACUUACCCUAAGUAGGUUUGACAUCUGUGAAGCCAAGGACUUGUGCUUGAGAGCUUGAGGAAGAGAAGCCCUCCCUUUCAGGGUGGUCUUGUGUUCAUAUAAAUAUGAACCAGAGCUGCUACGGCUAUUUUUACUACAAUGAAGCAAGCAAAGCUCAAGAGGAAAUUGACACAUGGAAGAGGGUAGAGUUCUAAAAAUAAGGGAGAGGAACUGGAUUCUUGAUGACAGUGGGCCCUCUCUAGCAAACAUUGUCUAAAACCUACCACACCCAGGACUAUUUAUAUAGUAGAUUCUUGAUCGUCACGGGCUGGGAGAGGGGUAAUGGGUAGUGACUGAUAAUGGGUACAGACUUUUGGUUUGGUUUUUCGAGGUGAUAAAAAUGUUCUGGAAUUGGAUGAGGUGAUGGGUGUACAACCUUGUGAAUAUACUAGAAACUACUGAAAUGUACACUUUAAAAGAGUGAUUUUUAUGGUAUAUGAAUUGUGUCUCAAUUUAAAAAAACCAUUUGUGGUUAUUUAGCAUGUUUUCACUUAGCAUGUUUCAUUAGGUGGAUGCAUCACCCACUUGGAAUACUGCUAACCCAUGAAACCCCAUGAAUCAAAGGACAGAAUUAGGAACAGAGAGGGAAAUAAAAGUUUGUGUAGAAAGAUGUCAAUUUCUUUCAUGAAGUAUACAGGUAUACAAAAUUUGAUAAUAAAACAAUGACUACCUAGAUACCACCUACCACCAAGUUUCAGAAAUAAAACUUACUUCCAUGUAGCUAUACGUUUUUACCUUCCUAUUUUCUCCUUAGUAAUAACCAUUGUCCUGUAUUUGGUGCUGUUCAAACAUAUUUGUCUGAAAAUAACAUGGAAUAUUGUUUAGUUCCAGCCAUUAGUUUUGAUGGAUUCUACGUCAACAUAAACCCCUCCCACCCUUUUGUCUUUCUCCUUGAUCCCAUCCCCCUUACAUUCCUCCUUCUUUUCUUCACCUUACUUUAAGCUCAGGUGGGUUUUCUAACCUAGGGUAGGAGUAUGAUAAGGGCAAUUUCUGGGAGACAGAGAGAGCUCAUUCUCUUGCCUCUUCCUGUCUACUCCAUGCAGGGAGAUCUCUGCAGCAGGCACUCUGCCUAGAAGCCAACCCUGAGUUGUGUAGGCAUGAAAAUUUUCACCUGCAAUAGCAAGAGGAAAAUAUCUAUGGCAAACACAAGACUUCACAUUUAAUAGCUCCUUUAGAUAAAAUCUGCUUUCAAAAUUUUUAUUAGGUGCAAAGGAAACGGGUUUGUUUGAAAACCAAUCUCCUGGAAUAAAUACUUGUGCAUUAUGACUAUUAACUGUUAACAUUAAUAAAUAUUAAUAUAUUCUAUAUAAUGCAUGCAUAUAUGCAAUAUUAUAUAAUGAAUAAUUAUCAGUUAUUUUGGUAAUAAAUAAUAUACAAUUAUAUAUACCGUGCAUGCUAUAUUAACAAAUAUUAAUAUUAAGAACUAUUAAUAUUAACCUUAACAAUGGGGUAAG
This 4820-nucleotide long non-coding RNA is filed under the name Equus caballus (horse). RNAcentral describes it as "lncRNA (ENSECAG00000046001.1)". The record is from RNAcentral. Lineage: Eukaryota; Metazoa; Chordata; Mammalia; Perissodactyla; Equidae.